Molecule: ribosomal RNA, 608 nt
Filed under: Klebsiella aerogenes
Lineage: Bacteria; Pseudomonadati; Pseudomonadota; Gammaproteobacteria; Enterobacterales; Enterobacteriaceae
Description: partial 23S ribosomal RNA
Rfam family: Bacterial large subunit ribosomal RNA
Source: RNAcentral
UUUAGGGUGUGACUGCGUACCUUUUGUAUAAUGGGUCAGCGACUUAUAUUCUGUAGCAAGGUUAACCGUAUAGGGGAGCCGCAGGGAAACCGAGUCUUAACUGGGCGUUAAGUUGCAGGGUAUAGACCCGAAACCCGGUGAUCUAGCCAUGGGCAGGUUGAAGGUUGGGUAACACUAACUGGAGGACCGAACCGACUAAUGUUGAAAAAUUAGCGGAUGACUUGUGGCUGGGGGUGAAAGGCCAAUCAAACCGGGAGAUAGCUGGUUCUCCCCGAAAGCUAUUUAGGUAGCGCCUCGUGAACUCAUCUUCGGGGGUAGAGCACUGUUUCGGCUAGGGGGUCAUCCCGACUUACCAACCCGAUGCAAACUACGAAUACCGAAGAAUGUUAUCACGGGAGACACACGGCGGGUGCUAACGUCCGUCGUGAAGAGGGAAACAACCCAGACCGCCAGCUAAGGUCCCAAAGUCACAGUUAAGUGGGAAACGAUGUGGGAAGGCACAGACAGCCAGGAUGUUGGCUUAGAAGCAGCCAUCAUUUAAAGAAAGCGUAAUAGCUCACUGGUCGAGUCGGCCUGCGCGGAAGAUGUAACGGGGCUAAACUGUGCAC